UCCCCGCUGGGCACCGCGAGGCUGGGCCUCGUAAGCGCAAAAUUGCGGCAUCGGAGGGGUAGCGUGCUCCGAUGCCGCAGCUUCGGAGGAUGCGGAGGCGCGGACGGGGGGCCUCAGUUUCCCCGCGGGGGGCCCCUGUGACCUAAGUCAGCUGAUGACCAAGAGCCCAGACCGGCGCUGGAGGAGGCGGUGUGGACCCUGAGGAAGGACCCGUGGUGGCCGCCUUGAGGAGGGGCGCGCCUCACGUCCUCUGCCUCUCUGACCCCUGCAGUGAGAACGGACCUGUGGCUGCCAAAGAUUCCUGAAAAGAAAGCCGAGUUGGAAGACAAUGCUGGUCCUGUAAGACGAACAAAAAAGACGGAGCGUCUGUCCCUGUAGGAACUGCUUGUCAGCCCCAGUUCCGGGCAGAACCAGGGAGUGGAUCAUCAGAUCGGACAUGUUCAGUCGCUCGUAUAAGGCUCCACGCCUAGCACAGAGCUCCAGCGUGGGACCCGAACUCACAAUCCUGAG
Molecule: long non-coding RNA, 510 nt
Organism: Lutra lutra (Eurasian river otter)
Lineage: Eukaryota; Metazoa; Chordata; Mammalia; Carnivora; Mustelidae
Exons: 3
Source: RefSeq, a predicted model, not a curated record